GCAUUCAUCGUUCAUCCACAGUGUAGACGUUGUCAAAUCGCCACAGCUGGCUGGCUUUUCCAUCACACUGGCGCAGGUGGGGGAGUGGCAGCACUGACUCUGCCUGCCUGGGGAAGCCUAGACUUGGGCAAUGGCCAUGACCCAAAUCAACAUCGUGCUGAGCCCAGAAACAAGACUUCAGACAGCUCCUGCCAGCUCCCAGCAGCAAUGUACCAGGCAAGUGACUCCAUACAAAUUCAGUUGGUGUGCAUUUUGGCUUCAUGUUGUGAGAACGCUCCAGAAGAGUCUCUUCUUAUUUUUUCCAUCUUUUCAGCUGCCAGUGACUCUCCUGUCCUUCUGAAUGGGGACCAAGAUUCUCGCAACCACCCUCAGACCCGCCACGUGAGCCCUCUCUGGGUGAAAUCAGUCGCUACUGAUGCCACAACCUACUCUCAGCAGACUGUACUUUGGGGACCUUUGGCUCUUGUACAGAACAGGGAGGCACUGUUGAUACUUUUCAGUCCUAAUUGAGCUUCCAUAGAUCUUCACAAGCCGUCCUACAAUUCCUACAGAAGGGUAAAGAACCAAGAAUGGUUCCUGGCCUGGGAUCAUCGUUGCCCCUUCCUACCUUUCCAGAGCAGAACCUGGCUCUUUGCGGCACAACAGUGGGGGUAGCUUCUGACUAGGAAAGAGAGCUCCAGUCAGGGUGGCAAACUUGUCCCGGUAUUCCCAGAACUUCCUGGAUUAAAAAAACUGAAAGUCCCACAUCCCAGGAACCCCGUCAGUCCAGCAAGGAGGCAUUUGUGGAGGCUUCCAAGAAGACAAACUGAACAGGAUGGGAUGUUUGCUUUCAUGGAUCAGAAAUGAAUCACAUCACUUUCUUUCAGUAACGACACAGAGUUGCAGAGUCACAAGAAAGAAACAACAGAAAGAAAAUGUUUUCGGGGUGGGGGGGGGGGGAGGUUGUGAAUAAAGGGUCCUGCGUGGAGACCCAGGAUUGCGAGACAGAGAUUGACGGUGUUUGACUGUGGUUGCCUCUAGAAGGACAAUAAACUUGCCAUGCCUAUUUACAACUA
This is a long non-coding RNA of Felis catus (domestic cat), 1055 nucleotides long. RefSeq lists it as uncharacterized. The record is from RefSeq and is a predicted model, not a curated record. The transcript is spliced from 5 exons. Lineage: Eukaryota; Metazoa; Chordata; Mammalia; Carnivora; Felidae.